UACGAAGGGGGCUAGCGUUGCUCGGAAUCACCGGGCGUAAAGCGCACGUAGGCGGAUUGCUAAGUCAGGGGUGAAAUCCUGGAGCUCAACUCCAGAACUGCCUUUGAUACUGGCGACCUUGAGUCCGGGAGAGGUGAGUGGAACUGCGAGUGUAGAGGUGAAAUUCGUAGAUAUUCGCAAGAACACCAGUGGCGAAGGCGGCUCACUGGCUCGGUACUGACGCUGAGGUGCGAAAGCGUGGGGAGCAAACAGG
Molecule: ribosomal RNA, 253 nt
Filed under: uncultured bacterium
Lineage: Bacteria
Description: partial 16S ribosomal RNA
Rfam family: Bacterial small subunit ribosomal RNA
Source: RNAcentral